This 252-nucleotide ribosomal RNA is filed under the name uncultured bacterium. RNAcentral's name for it is "partial 16S ribosomal RNA". It matches the Rfam family "Bacterial small subunit ribosomal RNA", at positions 524 to 776 of the family's 1533-position model. The record is from RNAcentral.
GACGAAGGUGGCUAGCGUUAUUCGGAUUUACUGGGCAUAAAGCGCGCGUAGGCGGCUUGGCAAGUCGGAGGUGAAAGCCUGCAGCUCAACUGCGGUGUGCCUCCGAAACUGCCGGGCUUGAGUGCGGGAGGGGUGAUUGGAACUCCAGGUGUAGCGGUGAAAUGCGUAGAUAUCUGGAGGAACACCAGAGGCGAAGGCGAAUCACUGGACCGCAACUGACGCUGAGGCGCGAAAGCUAGGGGAGCAAACAGG